UCCCCGUUACCGAGGCAGUCUGAUUAGAAAAUUCAACUAAUCACAAGGGUUGCGCUCGUUAAAGGACUUAACCUAACAUCUCACGACACGAGCUGACGACGGCCAUGCAGCACCUGUCACCUGAUUCCCGAAGGCACAGUCUCCUUUCGGAGACCUUCCAGGGAUGUCAAGCCUUGGUAAGGUUCUUCGCUUAUCAUCGAAUUAAACAACACGCUCCACCGCUUGUGCGGGUCCCCGUCAAUUCCUUUAUGUUUUAAGCUUGCGCUCGUACUCCACAGGCGGGAUGCUUAACGCGUUAGCUUCGCUACUACUCGGGUCGAUACGAAUAACAGCUAGCAUCCAUCGUUUACGGCGUGGACUAC
This 362-nucleotide unclassified non-coding RNA is filed under the name uncultured bacterium. RNAcentral describes it as "contains 16S-23S intergenic spacer region". The record is from RNAcentral.